AGCGAACGCUGGCGGCAGGCUUAACACAUGCAAGUCGAACGGGCGUAGCAAUACGUCAGUGGCAGACGGGUGAGUAACGCGUGGGAACGUACCUUUUGGUUCGGAACAACCCAGGGAAACUUGGGCUAAUACCGGAUAAGCCCUUACGGGGAAAGAUUUAUCGCCGAAAGAUCGGCCCGCGUCUGAUUAGCUAGUUGGUGUGGUAACGGCGCACCAAGGCGACGAUCAGUAGCUGGUCUGAGAGGAUGAUCAGCCACAUUGGGACUGAGACACGGCCCAAACUCCUACGGGAGGCAGCAGUGGGGAAUAUUGGACAAUGGGCGCAAGCCUGGAUCCAGCCAUGCCGCGUGAGUGAUGAAGGCCCUAGGGUUGUAAAGCUCUUUUGUGCGGGAAGAUAAUGACGGUACCGCAAGAAUAAGCCCCGGCUAACUUCGUGCCAGCCGCCGCGGUAAC
This 453-nucleotide ribosomal RNA is filed under the name uncultured bacterium. RNAcentral describes it as "bacterial SSU rRNA". It matches the Rfam family "Bacterial small subunit ribosomal RNA", at positions 29 to 524 of the family's 1533-position model. The record is from RNAcentral.